Molecule: ribosomal RNA, 1374 nt
Filed under: Triticum aestivum (bread wheat)
Lineage: Eukaryota; Viridiplantae; Streptophyta; Magnoliopsida; Poales; Poaceae
Description: partial small subunit ribosomal RNA
Source: RNAcentral
AUGGCGUCGUCCUGCAUCCCGACGGGCAUCCGGCUGCCGGACCUGGACAUGGUCAAGGCGGCGGCGGUCGGGGCGUCGUCGGCGCCGGGCGCGGGGGCGGCGCCGCUGCGGCCGGCGCACUCCUCGGCGUCCUCGGCGCUCUCCGACGCCUCCAACUCCUCCUCGGCCUCCUCGCUCUCGCUCAAGCGGGCGCGCACGCCGCGGAAGCGCCCCAACCAGACCUACAACGAGGCGGCCGCGCUGCUCGCCUCCAUGUACCCCUCCGUCUUCCCCGCCGGGGACAGGGCGCCGCCGUCGCCGAGGCUCCUCGGCCUCGCCUCCGCGCUCGCCGACGACCCCUCCCGCGCGGACCUGCUCCCGCCCUUCCCCGUCCUCGGCAACGCCGCCUGCCUCCUCCGCGACGCCGCCGCGCCGCCGACCACGCCGCGGAGCCCCGUCCUCGCCAGGGCCUGCCCGUCGCCGGCGGCCGUCAGCAGCGCCUUCACCGAGUUCCGCGACUCCGCGCCGUCCCCCGGGACCCCUGACGGCGCCGCCGGCGCGGACGGGCCCGGGGAGCUCGACUAUGAGGAUGAUGACGACAGCUUUGACGCAGACUCUUUCCUCCUCGGCGGCCUCGACGAGGGCGCCGCCGCGGAGGGGAUCGAUGGCAUCAUGGGCAAACUCAGUAUGGAAAGCGGCAGCGAUGCCUCUUCCAUUAACCGUGUCCUCUCCAGCUCCGGCAUAGACCCCUACAUCAGAAACCUCAUGGUGCUCGGACUCGGGUUCCGGCGCUCCCGGUCCAACAUCAAGCAGGCGCUCAAGCGGCAUGACGAUGACAGCGAAUGGUGGAUGUGCCCUGCCAUUCCAUUGAAGGACAUUAUGCCGGCGCCUCCCCCAUCGAUGGAACCACCACCGCCGGUGGAGAAGAAGAAGAAGAAGACUAAGAAGAAGGCGUUGAAGGACAUUGCCGCUGGGCCGUGCAUUACAUGUGUUAAGGAGGAAAUUCCUGACCCUGCUUAUGGGGAUGAUGGAAUUUUUGGACCGAAGGCGCCCAAGACAGGAUUGGGCCUGAGCCUCAACACUGAGGAGGUGCUGAAGGCGUGGUAUGACAGAGGCUCCGUGUUCGCUGACGGCAACAUACCUGAUGCAUCAUCCACUGAUGGGCUGGCUAAACUUUCAGACAUUGAACUGUUUCUAGAGAAUGGUGCUGCUGGUGCUAUCAGGGAAGGCAGCAUACAGAAAUUGAAGCACAAGCAGAAGCAGUGCACUCCCCUCCUCUCAAAUAAGACUCGGUACCAAGCACGGAAGGUGCACGCCGAGUCUCGUCCUCGGGUCAAGGGGAGGUUUGUCAGCCAGGCGGCUCUUCUGCAGAAAGCCGCGGAGAAAGAGACCUAG